Molecule: unclassified non-coding RNA, 255 nt
Filed under: Sporidesmium sp.
Lineage: Eukaryota; Fungi; Ascomycota; Sordariomycetes; Sporidesmiaceae
Description: partial contains 5.8S ribosomal RNA, internal transcribed spacer 2, and large subunit ribosomal RNA
Source: RNAcentral
CGCACAUUGCGCCCGCCAGCACUCUGGCGGGCAUGCCUGUCCGAGCGUCAUUUCCACCCUCAGGCCCUGUUAGCCUGGCGUUGGGGCUCUGUAGGCCAGUUCCUGCAGGCCCUCAAGACCAGUGGCGGGCUCGCCUAGAACUCAGAGCGCAGUAGUUUCUCCUCGCUCAGCGGGUUCUAGGCGGGUUUGGCCGUUAAACCCCUAAAUUUUUAGAAGGUUGACCUCGGAUCAGGUAGGGAUACCCGCUGAACUUAA